RNAcentral lists this long non-coding RNA (4930 nucleotides) under Mytilus galloprovincialis (Mediterranean mussel). The record is from RNAcentral. Lineage: Eukaryota; Metazoa; Mollusca; Bivalvia; Mytilida; Mytilidae.
UGCCCUUCAUGACUGUCACUGCAAGUUCACAGCAAAUCCUGUUCAACUAGAAGAUCUAGACAUCACCCUAUCCAGCCUGAUUUUGUUGAACUGCAAUAAUCUGACUCCAUCUGAUGAUGCAGCAGUACAGGGGCUACGACAAUACAAGAAUGACUAUCUGAGUCACAAUACCACAGGAAGAAUAUCACACACAGAAUACAAGAGCUUAUGGACAGACCUUACAAACUUUGUCCUACAACUUGACCCUAGUAAACAAGAUGACAUGAUAAGAAUUGAGAGAAGACCAUUGGAUGAGUCUUUGUGUAACAGUUACACCCUUAACCUACUGGACCUCCACAAGAAGCUUGAUGAGGUAACUUUCAAUAUUAUUGUUUUUGAUUAUAAAUUUAAAAUAACAUGUGUCAAUGGUGAUAUAAACAGAAUGACAUGAAUGAGUGGAACAGCCAUUCAGAUUAUGUCAAAGAGAAACAUUGUGAUUCUCAUGCACCUAGAUGAGCUGUUUUUUUUUUAUAUUGCUUACAUUAUUUAUUUGAUUAUACAAGGUGUCCCUCGUCUGUAUUGAUAUGAUCAUUUAAUGUCUCAUUACAAUGACACAGGAAUGUAGGCUGACACAACAUGUUUAUGUCUAGAAUUUUAUAUUUAUUUCAUUUAUGAAAAUAGUAGCUAAAUGUAUGAAAAAUAAAUGUUCUUAUAUCAGGUAUUAAAAUAAAGAAUAUGUUUUUCUACAUAAAAUUGCCCAAAUUUGACUGACUGUUAAAAAGAAGGCUGUAUAUGUUUUGUAUGGAUUAAAUAAAACAAUGAACCAAAGAAUAGACUUAUUUUGCCACUUCAAUGACAAUUUGCAUUAUAUCCUGCAAGGGACUUAUCAAAAACCAGUAACUUUACAUUGGAUUUUUAUACGCCAGUCAAAAUUUUGACAGGACGUAUUAUGGUAUACAAAUGUCCGGUGUCCGUCUGUCCGUCUGUCUGUCCGGCGUAAACAUGUCGCACCGUAACUUGAGAACGACAUAUCCAAAUUUCAUGAAACUUAAUAUAGUUGUUUCUUAUGAUGGUCAAAUGAUCUGCAUACUUUUUGGUGUAAAUAAGAUUAAAACUUUUUGAGUUACGGAACUUUGUAACUAAAACAGGGGGCUGUUUUUUUUCACAUGUCGCACCGUAUCUCAAAAACGAUUCUUGAUUAUGGCUUUAAACUUUAAACACUUCUUAAUUAUAUUUAUCUUAAUAUCUGUAUACUUAUUGGUGAUGAUUCAAAAUUUCAUGUUUGAGUUAUUGAGUAUUUUGGUGGGGUUCGUGUUGUUUACAUGUUAUUCUUUAGUUUUCUAUGUUGUGUCAUGUGUACUAUUGUUUUUCUGUUUGUCUUUUUCAUUUUUAGCCAUGGCGUUGUCAGUUUGUUUUAGAUUUAUGAAUUUGACUGUCCCUUUGGUAUCUUUCGUCCCUCUUUUUGUAAAAAAGGGGGAGGGGUUUUUUACAUGUCGCGCCAUAUCUCAAAAACGAUUUAUGAUUAUUGCUUAAAACUUUACACAUGUCUUUGUUAUAUUAAUCUCAAGAUCUGUAUACUUUUUGGUGAUGAUUCAAAAUUUCAUUUUUGAGUUAUUGAGUUACUUGUAAAAAAGAGGUAGCGGUUUUUUAAAUGUUGUGCCGUAUCUCAAAAACAAUUUAUGAUUAUUGCUUAAAACUUUACACACUUCUUUGUUAUAUUAAUCUAAAGAUUUAUAUACUUUUUGAUGAUGAUUCAAAAUUUUAUUUUUGAGUAAUUGAGUAUUUUGUAAAACAGGGGAGGGUUUUUUUACAUGUUGCACCGUAUCUCAAAAAUAAUUUAUGAUUAUUGUUUUAAACUUUACACACUUCUUUGUUAUAUUAAUCUAAAGAUCUGUAUACUUUUUGGUUUUGAUUCAAAAUUUUAUUUUUGUGAAAUUUAGGUUUUUGUAAAAAAAAAAAACAGGCGCGGGGAGGGGGGGGUUCACAUGUCCCGCUGUGUCUCAAAAACAAUAUAUGGUUAUUGCUUAAAACUUUCUCAGAAACUAUUUAUGAUUAUUGCAUAAAACUUCCACACAAGACGUCGGGCAUAUCAUGCGCUCGUGGCGCAGCUGUUUAUUCUAAAUAUACAGUAACAAAUAUGUCAUGAAUAUUCCGAACGAUUGCUAUACAUUUGUUUUAUAUUGGAUUUCAUUGGGCAACAUGAUUUAUUUUGAUAUACAAUAUUCUUUCAAAUGAUAUGUAUCGGAGCAGAGUACAAAAGUUGUUGAUGUCUAUAUUAUUUUUGAAAAUGAAUUUUAAAUUUUAAAUAAGAGAGUAAAUACAGAUGAAUAAAAAUUGACAGUAUUAUAUAUAUUGUCAAUGAAAAAUAAUUUUAGCAAUAAUUAGUUGCUGUACAGGAUAAUUGUGAUUCUUUUAUAAGUUAAUAAGUUGAAGCAGCUGUUUAUUUCCCUGGAUAAUCAGUGGAAUAGAGUGUAAUAGAGAAAAUCAAGAUCUAGAGAAGCUUUGACUCUUGGUGAAAUUUGUAUCAAGCAAGGUUUGAUGAAUACAUAUUAUUAUAUUAAAAAAACACUAAAAAAAAACAAAUGAAAUUAGAAGGAUUGCUGAAACAUUGAAUAAGACCUGUUGGAUAUUUGACUUGACUUUGUGAUGGUUCAAUGUUUAAGUUUAGUAGAAUAAAGUGAAAUAGAGUUGCAAAUAGAUAUAAGAAGAUGUGGUAUGAGUGUCAAUGAAACAACUCUCCAUCCAAAUCACAAAUACACCAUUAUAGGCCAAAUUAUGAUAUUUAACACAGGGCAAGUAUGAUUGUCUUUACUUAAAAAAAUAGUUCCAGCUAACAUAGUUUAUGUUUUUACUUUAUUUUCAGAUAGAUAAUUCAAUCCAAGGUAUAAGAUCUGAUAUACAAGGUCAAAAUGCUUACAUGCAGGUAAAUACAUUAUUACAUUCAUUACCACUAAAUGUAUCUUGCCGACUUUGAAUCUUUAAAAAAUACGGUGGUGUAGUAAAAGCCAAUGAGAAAACUAUUAAUAAAGACAAUAAACUUUUUUUGUAAUUUUCGAUAAUGCAAAUGUUGAAAUUGAAAUAGCAACACUUUAACAUGUAAGUUUGGCAAAUAUUCCAAGUCAAUGAACCAUGACUGAAGGUACAUGUCUAAACAAUCUCCAUGGGAUGAUUUGGGCAAAUGCUAAUACAACUGCAUACCAAAUACCAUUGAAUUAUUAUAAGUAGUUCCCUUUAAACAACUUAAACCCAAACUUAUACAUGUAAACUAAGCAAAAUGUUCAAGGUCAAUCAACCAUAACUGAGGGAACAGGGUUAAAUAAUGAUCAAUAAUCUUAAUGGUAAUGAUCAGAUAUGCUAAUGCUAAUACAACUGCAUACCAAAUAUCAUUUAACUACCAGAAGAGGUUCACCAUAAACCAACAUAAUCAAACUAAUACAUGAAAACUAAGCAAAAGUUUCAAAGUCAGUAAACCAAAACUGAGGGGGCUGGGCCACAUAAUCUCCAUGGUAAUGAGAUGUGCCAAUACUAAUAUAACUGCAUACCAAAUAUUUUUGACUCACUACUAGUGGUUCACCACAAUCUACUAAAAUUAUUACCUAAUCACAAAUUGUUGACAACGACACGGCGGCCAACGCCUCCUCUGUCAACAGAAACAGCAUACCGAUAUCUAUUUUUUCACUCUGUCAAGCGCGAUAAAAAGUCAAAGUUGUGAACAAGUACAGAACUGUUUACAAUCACAUUUGUAGACUGCACUUUGUAAAUACAGCUGUUUCCCAAACCAUGCCUCCUGAUUUUUAAUAUUCAUAGGUAUUUUGUUUUGUUAAUUUAUAUUGGAUAGAAACUGAAAAUUGCAUUUUAAUUGGCAAAUAUUUGACCACUUAAAAUUUUUAGGCAAGGGAUCCUUUCACUGAAAAGAGUGUGGCAAUCUCCUUAGACAUGAGAAAUUAAAAUGAUCAUUCCUAUUUGGAUCAGACUGGGAGGAACAUAUUUGUGUACCUCUAGUUAACCAAGAAAUUUUGAACAUUUCAGUAUUUUUUUUCAGAACAUUUUAACAACAUUGCCAAACUUUCAAUGUUUCUACAAUCAUCAAGUAGCCUAAUAGACAUUUUAUGUUGAUUUUAAUCUAAAUAAUAUUCAUAGUAUCUUUAAAUCACAUAAAUCACAAUACAAUGUGAAAGCUGCAUUGACUCCACUGAUAUGUGUUUUGUUUUUCGCAGUUGUUAUAAGAACAAAUCUAAGUUACUAAUUUAUCACUUUACAGGAGAUACUUCUUUACCUCAGAAAAGAUGGAUGCUCUUGCCAAUGUGGAAACUCUGAACAACAAAGUAUAUAUAAAUAUAUUGGUAAUUAUAUAUGAUAGUUUUUUUCACAAUGAACAAUGUGUAUUAAUAUAACAUAUUUUUUUUGUCCAAAAUUAUGUUCGUCUAGUAUGACUCUGUUCUUUUUACUACAAACAAUCUUUUAUAUUACACAAAUGAAAAUUGAAAAAAGUCUAAUGAGCAUUCAUCCUAAAACUGCUUUUUUUGUGGUAUUGAUUGAAAAUUCUUAAUACAAAAUUAUUGUUUUUAUUUGUUGCAACUGAGAAAGUCUAUCUGUUACUGUUAAUUUCUUUAGAUGAUCAUAUUUCAGAUGUUUGUAUAAAUCAAAAUACAACAAUAAACAAUGUGUGGUUUCUAUCUUUCAGACAAAGUCCACACAAACAAUAAACAAUACACACUAGGACAAGAUUUUUUCAAAUUUCAUCAUCAGAUCAACCAGACAUCAGAAAUUUUUAACAGAAAUAAAAAAUCUAUAAUAGAUAUGGUGAUGAUGGAUGAUGGUAGACUGGUGGUGUGUUUACCUUUACAGAGCAUACUACGGAUCUGUAACACAGAUGGAUCACAGAUAGAUAGUAUAUAUGUACAGGGUCAACCAUGGUAUGUUACAGCAGUCAACAACUCUACAGUAGCUG